AGCGAACGCUGGCGGCAGGCCUAACACAUGCAAGUCGAACGGAUCCUUCGGGAUUAGUGGCGGACGGGUGAGUAACACGUGGGAACGUGCCCUUUGGUUCGGAACAACUCAGGGAAACUUGAGCUAAUACCGGAUGUGCCCUUCGGGGGAAAGAUUUAUCGCCAUUGGAGCGGCCCGCGUCUGAUUAGCUAGUUGGUGAGGUAACGGCCCACCAAGGCGACGAUCAGUAGCUGGUCUGAGAGGAUGAUCAGCCACACUGGGACUGAGACACGGCCCAGACUCCUACGGGAGGCAGCAGUGGGGAAUCCUGCGCAAUGGGCGAAAGCCUGACGCAGCCAUGCCGCGUGAAUGAUGAAGGUCUUAGGAUUGUAAAAUUCUUUCAGCGGGGACGAUAAUGACGGUACCCGCAGAAGAAGCGCCGGCUAACUUCGUG
Molecule: ribosomal RNA, 433 nt
Filed under: uncultured bacterium
Lineage: Bacteria
Description: partial 16S ribosomal RNA
Rfam family: Bacterial small subunit ribosomal RNA
Source: RNAcentral